UACAGAGGUCUCAAGCGUUGUUCGGAAUUAUUGGGCGUAAAGGGUGCGUAGGCGGCAGGGUAAGUUAGAUGUGAAAUACCGGUGCUUAACAUCGGAAUUGCAUUUAAGACUGCCUUGCUUGAGCAUUAGAGAGGAGACUGGAAUUUACGGUGUAGCAGUGAAAUGCGUAGAUAUCGAUCGGAACACCCAUGGCGAAGGCAGCUCGCUGGCCUGUAACUGACGCUGAGGUGCGAAAGCGUGGGGAGCAAACAGG
Molecule: ribosomal RNA, 253 nt
Filed under: uncultured bacterium
Lineage: Bacteria
Description: partial 16S ribosomal RNA
Rfam family: Bacterial small subunit ribosomal RNA
Source: RNAcentral